CCCCCCUCUUCCCCCCCCGCAAAGCGGUGAAGUUUCCCAUUAAAAUUGACACCAGGGGAUGGUCUUAGCAGCCUCGUCCGCCCCGGAUUGGUGAGCCCCGCCGGAAGCCGCCUGCACACGCAUUUUCUAACAGAUAAGUCAAUCGGCAGAGACUUGCCCCCCUCUCCCCCCCCACCUUAUCCCAAAAUACCGUUUUCGCAAAGCCGGAGCCCACCAGUCACCCGGCAGCUCCCAGCACUCCCCUCUCCGCCACCCACCCUCGGCUCCUUAGCUCUAAAGGAGGGGGAUGAGGGGAUGUUUCCCCCCUCGCACCUCCUUUGGGGGUGCAAAAGGGUCGGCAGCAGCCGGCACCGGGGGUCCCGCACCCAGCCACCCCUCCGGGCCCGCAGCUUCCCCGGUGCCGCAUAACCUCUGUCCUCAGUCGGCUCUGGGAUGACGUGGCUUCGCACCCACCGCAAUUGGGGAUUUCGAGGUGUCCGUUCUGCUGGAGGCUCCUUAUGGACCGGGGGGAAAUAAAAAGAGAAGAUAGGCCUUUUCUUUUUUGUCGCGGCACGAAAUACCGUCUUUAGGCAAGGGUCUAAAGAUGCUAAAACGGCACCAGAAAUCGAAGUCUAGGAAAGGAGUGAGAAAAAUGAAAUAACGCGAAAUCGGCCGGAGCUGGGGAAGGUUCGCUCUAACAAGUGGUGGGAGGAUGCUCUGCCAACGAGUGGGGCUGCCUCUUCUUUAUAUAUUUCCUUGGCUCUUAUUAUUAUUAUUAUUGCUAUUUUUUCUUCGGAGUGGGAGAGUUUGCUUAAAAAGUGAUCUUAAUUAAAAAGAGAAGGAGCGGAAUGGUUUCCCACGUGUAGAUUCCCGAGAAUACUUAAUGCUUCUCAUCAGCUGCAGCCGUCCGGAUAGAAAGCUGUUGGCUGCUUCUGCGGACGGGCGAGCAGAGCUGAUCGUCUUCCCCCUUCUUUAGCUUCUAUGAUCAUUUCUUCCUCUGUCUUCUCAAAGUUCAAGCUCUCCUUUAAAACAAAGAUCGGGAGCAAAACCGAUCUUUGUUCGCACCUCCACUUCUCCGCACCGUCUGUUGAGAGUUCCGUCUAUUCUCGGUUCCGACUCUUCACGGUUAGCAUCGUUUCUUUGUUUCUGCGUUGGGCUGAAACCCACUUAAUCUGCACUAUCCAGCGGGAAACGAAUCGGGGACUGCAGACACACGGCAGGGAAAUCCCUCUUGGAGCAAAGCUGGGAACUUCUGGAACAAAUCCCCCCCAAUAGCGGUUACCUCUCCUGAUGCCCACCCAGUCAAACCCACUACUAACCACCAUCCGCCCCACGCUUUCCAUCUGCGUGGCUCUUCCAUUCGCAUCGGUGUCCUCUCUUCUAUUUUAGUUUAUUUUCCUCCCCUCUCUGCCGACUCUUAGAGCCCGCUGUGUGGACGGAAGCUUGCUAGGCUUGGAAUUAAAAGGUCAUUUCGAGAGGAUUGCCAAGUCUACGUGCUGGGGGGACUCAGCCUUUUAUGCCGCCAUGUGUUGUCUCCGUCCGCUGCCAUAGGAAAGCAGUUGUGCCGUAAUGAGGUACCUUUAAAUUUAAUUUCCUGCCCCUCCCCUGCUUUAUGGAUUUCUAAUAACAAUGUUGGAAACCGGAGAAGAAACCUCUUAAAGUCUCCCGGACGGAGGGUUUAUAUAAAUAAUGGAAGGUAGCCGAGCUUAAUUAAGUUUUCCAACAAAUUGGUAGGAUAGGAAGAAAUGCGGUAUUUUGUUUAAGGGGACACCCAGAGAAGGAUGCAUUUCUGUUGGGUCUUUCCAUAGAAUUCUUAUCAAUAUUACUCUUCAAUUUAUUCAUUCUUAACUGAUUUUUUUUUUUCGGAGAUUUAAACGUAAUCCCAAAUAACCUGAAAUGUAUAAACUAAAAAUAAUUAAAAGAUUAAUCGGGGGGAGAAAGAAAGAAAAGAAGACUAAAACUGAGAUUUUUGGUCAGAUUUCCCCAUGAAAAAUAAAAUAGGAAAAAAAAAUCGAAUGAAUUGUUGGACCGAUAAAGUCUUAGCGAAGAGAGAGGUUUAAUGUCGGAUAAGUAGAUGCUCGUAUCCGACUGCAGGUUUGCUGGAAGUGUUUUGCCAACUCCUUUUCUUUAAUGCCAUCCAACGUUUCCUUCUCCCUUUUAAGUGCUGCUGGAUUCUUUCUCGAGGUUCAGCCUUACCCGCUCCACCCAAAGCUCCUGUUGCGACUUAAAGUCUUAUUCGAUUAAUUUAGAAGAUUUGCCGCAUCUGUGGACUAAUUAGAUGAUAUUUCUGUAAGCGAAGCUCCCCUCGCUCUCCCCAUCUCAGCUCACGAUGCCGGGUUUGGUGCAGAGCCCCAGGAUGGGGCUGAGACGGCUCCGAUCGCCCCAAACUGGGGUCGGGUUUAUGGGGAUCAUUCUUACGUAUUCUCUCGCUGAGCUGUGGGAUCGUUUCGUUUCUGCACACCGUCUGCAUUUCCAGUUCACCCUGUAAAGAUACAGAAUUACUGAGAUAGGUGUGAUCGAUCUCCCCCCGCCUUUUUGUUCCUAUUAAUUGGGGUUCUCCGGCACCGGAGGGAUUUUUAUCCGGAUUUUUUCUUUUUCUCCCCGGGGAUUUCGCACAGUUUGGUUUCUCUUAAUUGUGUGGGAAGUGGAUGCUGAGGGAGGGGGCUCCGGGGGGGGCAAUAUCUCGGGUUUUCUGUCUGACUGCCGCACAGCCCACAAUUCCGGGGGCUGCGGCUCUCCGUGAUCUCAGGACGGAGCCGCACACCGUGAUUUGAGAAUGGGGAGCGGUGAGGGGGGGGGGGAAGAGUGGCGAAGCAAAGCGUUCAGGCCAGUCCUGAUAGGGAGGGCAGCAGGCCGGGCCGAGGGGCUCCGACUGCCCUCCACUUCGUGUUUUCUUGCUCCGAGGGGAAGUUUUCCCUCGGGAUUCCGCUUCACUUUUUUCUCUGGGGCCGCGUUUGAUGCCACCUUCACGUCUAAGCAGGACUCGGGAUCCCUCCUGCCCUUCGGCACCCCUCGCUGCCCUCACUUUCAGGUCCCCACGCUCACCUCGAGCAUUCCCAGCCCGGAAUUUCCGACUUUACAGAGCCCUUUUGCUUGGAUCACGUCUGAGGGCAUCCCUUGGGGAGAGGGCUUCAGAGAAACAGCUUUAGUCGCGACCCUCUUUAAGACAGAAUUUCUCAUUUUUACUCACAAACCUUUCUCUCUUUGCUUUUUCCCUUCUUUCGCUUAAAGUUUGGGGGGGGAAAGAAAAAUCAAAACACAAAAAAAGCUCGGUUAAAAUGCUGGUGUUCGGCUUGGCAGAGGAAACAAACAAAGGCCGCACCGCGGAUGGCAGCGCUGGUGCGGAGGUAGCGCGGAGCGGGGGCCGAUCCCGGCCAGCGAGCGCCGCCCUGAGGCCACGGAGCCGACGGACCCCGACGGGGGAUGCGGGGAACGGGGGGAGGUGGGGGGGAAGCACUGCUGGUGCUGCGCUAAGGGGUUAAAUGCAGCCCCAGCCAACGGAGGGCAGGGACUUAUUAAUAAUUCUUGUUUAUGGUUUAUUGCCGGAGUACGAACGAUUCAAGCAUUCACAUCUAUAUUUCCCCCCCACACACACCAACGUGUCCUUCCCCCCUCACCCCCUUUUUUUUUUUCCUUUUGCAAUGGGUGAGUAAGAAACCUCACAGCGCAGUUUUCUGUUGCUGAGGAUCUUUUUGGUUUGAUGGAUAGGGGGAAGAAAAAAGAGAGAACCCACGCCAAGCUGUCUCCCACUCCCAUGGGACAUAGCGAGGGGGGGGGGGGGGGGGGGGAGGAAGGAAAGAGGGUAUGGGGGCAGUUUCUUCAUCUUUUCCUUAUAAAUGCGACAAGAGCCUCCCUUUCAUAACGUACUCUGCUUGAGAAUAUCCGCGUGACUCCUAAGGAGCGGACAUCAAAUACUCCCAAAUGGAGCUGUGAAAAACAGCUGCUAUCACCAUAUUUUAAUAAAAGUAGGGCUUUGUGAACAUCUAAGUAAGUCACAAAGAAAUCAGUGAUGAGAUCUGGAGACUCGGUGCCAUUUCCCUUAGAUAAUCUGUAAUAGAUUCUUCCGUUAAGUGUGUUUGUAAUGGAUAUAUACACAUAUAUACAUUUACUGAUCUAUGCUCAUGCAAGCGCCCUCCCAUUCCACCCUAUUAAUUAUUUUAGCACUUAUUCCCCUGACAAGCAGAAGUUCUCUUAUUGCUGAGACAUCCAUUUGCUGUCCCAGAGCUCCAACUUGUCUUUGACGUCUAAAUUUAAAAUGUUUUUAAAAACUUUAGCAAUAUCCAGAAAGGGAAAAAUAACCCCCAUUACCUUCAAAUGUGAUUCCAGCCCAAGAAUUAAAGCUAAUCCAUCACCUAUUUGCAUUUUGUUCUUUUUCUUCCUCUUCUGUUUUGCUCUUUUCUCCCUCCCCCUUUUUUCCCUCUCCCUUUUCAACUGAUUGUUAUUUAUUUUAAACCUGAUCAUGAAAUUAAAUGGCACGUGCAGUUUUGUUUUUCAUGCUUAACUUGAGUGGUUUCCCUUAUUUAUGUUUUCAAUUUGCAAUUUUCUAGGGGGGAGGUUGGGGGGCAGAGUGUGUUUCAUCUCCACAUUGCAGCAGUGGAAGCUCAGUUCUAAAUGCAUUCCUGCCUGUUCUGUCUGAAGGAAAGAGCUUUUAGCAUUACGAGUUCAAGUGUGACUGUGACUUUGGUUUUAGGAAUUGUAGACGCAGUGUUACACUUUUUUUCUUUAAUUAUUCGUAAUAUUAUUCCUCUUCGUGGGAAGUAGAAAAUACUCAAAGCAUUGCAAUGGCAUUGUGGAUGUGAUAGAAAUAACUAUAGUGGAUGGUACGUGUGCAUGACUACAAACUCAUUGUGUCUACCGACCUCAGGAAUGCAGUGCUAGAGGUUCCGAAUGUAGACGUAAUUAAAGUUUCCUUGUCAACUCCAUAAGAGUUCAUUCACAGAUUCGAUUUAUUUAAACUUGGUCCUACAUAUAGGACCAUACAUUGUGCCAAAAUGGUGAGAAAGAGGCCGGGGGGGAAGAUUAAUCAUAAAGUAAUAGAAAAAAUGCAUACAAACUUCUCCUGUACCAAAGACUCCGGGUCAGACGAUCUUUUCCCCCCUUUGGGAGGGCUCUAACCUCACACAACACGAAAAUAAACACCCGGGCUCCACAAUUCCCCUCCUCCAGAUGAGUUUUUCCCUCUUCCUAUUCUCUUUUAAAUGUCUGUCUGUUUGUUUGUUUGUUUUCCCGGGGGGAGUUCCCUGCAGGUUUGUUGUGUUGGAUUUGAGUUGGCGGUGUUGGGUUUGGGUUGAUGUUGAGUUUGGUUUAUGUGCUGGGUUUGGGUUGGUGGUGUUUGGGUUUGGUUUAUGUGUUGGGUUUGGAUUAUAAGUUGGGUUUGGGUUGGUGUUGGGUUUGGUUUAUGUUUUAAGUUCAGUUUAUGCGUUGGGUUUGUGGUGUUGUUGGGUUUGGUUUGUAUGCUGGCUUUGAGUUGGUGUUGGCUUUGGUUUAUGUGUUAGAUUUAGUUUAUACAUUGGCUUUGGGUUAUUGUUGGGUUUGGUUUGUAUGCCGGCUUCAGGCUGGUGUUGGAUUCGGUUUAUGAGGUUUAGUUUAUACGUUGGGUUUGGGUUGGAGUUGGCUUUGGUUUAUGUGUUAGGUUAAGUUUAUGCGUUGGCUUUGGGUUGGUGUUGGCUUUGGUUUAUGUGUUGGAUUUUUUUUUCCUGAUUCCUCCCCAUCCCUCUCCUCCCUCCCGACGUGGUGUAAACUGUUUGAAGUUCAACAACACGGCAAAGUUUUAUUGUAUUUCCGGCACAAUAGAUUUAUAUGCGGUCCCAUCCACUCCUUUAAGCGCUUCUCAAAUGAAAUGGAGCUAAAUUAUUGUCGACUUUCUGGCUCCUGCGUGCAUCUCUUCAUCCCAGAGAAUUCGUUCUCAAUGAACUUUUUAAUCUCCAAACUCGUUCUUUGGGGGCAGUUGCCCCAUUGUUUUCGAGCCCCUAUUGAUUCCCUCCGCUCACUCCGUUUUGUUAUUUAAUCCACUUGAGGAUUAAAUCCGAAUUUACAAGGUAAGCCUUCGACUUUAUUUUAUACGUAUAUCAAUUAUGUGUGUACAUCAGCGUUUGUGACACGAAGGAGCCUGACCCGAUGGGGAUGUAUGGUCCAGACUUUGCUAAAUGGGAAUUAAUAUCUUUUCCUUUAUUUUUUUCCUCUUUCUUCCAAUUUCCCCCUUCGGAAGUCACAGCAAAGCCCUGAGGGCCGCCCGGCUCCAAUCUCCUCUCCCCGGCUUUAAUUCCCCAUUCCAUCACCACUGAGCCAUUCUUUUAUAACACGUUCUUCCAGCGCGGAGUUCACAUUGGGGGGAGGAAAAGACAUCAUAACUUUCUCUGAGUUACUAUUCACACCUCUACAACAGUCACAACGACGCUUUUUCUCUUGCUUUGCUUGAUUUAUAUGUUCUCGCCUUCUUCUUUUCUUUAAAUUAAUCACCCUACGCACACACUGAGAGGAGGGGAAUAUGAAUUAAGAGCUCUUCUAAUUAUUAUUAUGGAACUCUCUGCUUUGACUUCAUUCUCUUUUCUGCCGAUAGUUUCGCAAACGUUAAUGUUUCUAGGUUAUAUAUAUAUAUAUAUAUAUAUAUAUAUAAUCUAUCUCUGUCUCUCUAUCUCUUCUAAUAGCGUUUUAAUACAAAGCCUCGAUGAAUGGCGUUGAUAUGGGAAGGGCCCUUGAAAUCGGCUUUCCGGAGGAGGUGGGGGAAGAACUUUAGGAAUUUUUAGACUUAUUUUAUUGCCUCGAUAAUCGCUUGUUUCUCAAAGUCAACAGCAUUUUACUGUUUCCUCUGCUCUAUUUGUCAACUAUUUGUAACGUCCUGCGGGAGGGAUCCGCUCCAGACACUGUACAUAGGAAAUCAUUUGAAUAGUCAUUUCGCGAAAUCGUAGGGGUUUUAUUUCGUCUCUGAAAAGGUCCUUUUGUUGCUUUUGUUUCCUAGCAACUGUUUUCUAUUAUAAAAGUUCAGAUCGCAGAUGAUGUCAAACAAAAUGGCCGCCCAGGCGCCUUUCUCGGUAAUUUUAGCCUUUGACCCAAGAAUGAACUAGAACUGCUCUGUGAAUUAGGUAGUUUCAUGUUGUUGGGCUUUAAAUUUUAAACACAAGAACAUCAAACUACCUGAUUUACUCCAGUUAUCCCCCUCGGUGUGCAGCUGCCCCGGGCAGGAUGGAGGGAGCGGACACGGAGCCCCGCAGUCCCGCACCGCUCCCCGCACCACGCAGCGGUGCCGCUUUCUUUGUCUCAGUUCCCCAUUUCAGGGGACUUUUGGCGAGACAACGACCCAAAUCAUCAAGACCUCAUUAAAGGUCUAAUUAGGCUGCGGCGCCUCUCGGAGGCCAAAAUGCCCCCCCCAGCGGCAGGCAGUCCCACGGCACGAAACCUCAAUAAAGUUGGUGGGUUUUCUUUUUCCGUCGUGUAAAAUACCUACAUAUAAAUCCGCACACAGCUACAAAGUAAUCGGAGGCCGUCUUGUUUUAGUCGCUGUGAUCCACGCCUCCGUGUGAGGGAUAAAAUGCGGCGUUAGGGAGCACAAAGGAGCUGCGUCCAGUUUAAUUAUCCCCAUUGAGAAACUAAGUUUAUUAAAGGCUCUGCUGCUCAUCUCGCAGUGCCUCGGCUUUGUCAUUUCGCUGGCGAUGUUACAGGGAUGGGGGCGGCGAGCGGCUCUGUAUGGCUUUUCCUUCAGAGGUUUAAAUGCCCAGCUUAGCUGGACGUGUAGGAUAUUGAAUUCAGGGCAAUAUUCAGCCGCUGAGGAGCCCCAGCAUCUCGUAGGACACCUCCAGACAAACCCAAGAGAGAAACACCGCUGCUACAUUCACCGAACGAAAGGGUUCGGGUGGCAUCGGGAAGCGCCUCAAUGAUUUCCUCCCCCCCCCUUCCCUCCCCCUCCUCACUCCAACGUGUUGCAUGCGGGACUGCGCUCAUUUUAAUGUCUUUUAAGCUCAUAAAAGUCCUCGUGGGGGUGGGAGGGUGCGGGGAGCGGUGCGUGUUUGCACGAAGUCCGUCCAUUCCGUUUGGACACUGCGACUUUGUGCUCAGUGUAUGUUAUUGCUCAGCUCGUGGAAGCAAUUUGCCCCGCGUUGGUGUUUGAAACACCCGUAAAAAACAAGUUUCACAUGAUCCAGGCCACGGCUAAACGAGCCUGAGCCUGCGUGUCCCUCCGAGGUUUAGAAGAAUUAAACAUUGAUACGAUAUCCAGAGUUUAACCGCCAUCUGCUGCGGCUGAGAGAUCCCUGGGAAUUCUUAUUUUCCCUUUCUCCUGCAUUUUUUUUCCCUCCCCCCUCCGUUUUGUUAAAACAAAACGAAAACAAACAAACAGAAAACUCGUCUGGGUUUGAGGCCGGCGUGUGCUUUCUGCCCCGAAAGUGGUGACUGUGGCGGACACAUCGCCUAUCUCCGCUAUUAAACAAACAGCCGCUUCAAGGGGAGGAGAGGGAAAGUCAAACAGCGUCAAAUAGCUCGGAGUUUUCUACCCAAUUCAGCAGCCCUGUGACUCCUUCCUUAGAAACAACGCGCUACUUGUGCCCUGCCUCAAAGCCCUUAAACGGAAAAGGACAAUCUGGGAAAGUUAAUCAUAAACUAUUCGGUAAUAAUGUCCCCAUAGGCAACCACUAACCUGCCUUGUAAAUGUCUGGGCUGCUGAUUUUGAUCUCUUUCCUACCCACGUCCAUACAGGAAGCGAGGGCCGGGGAGGAGAGUGGGGAGACGGAGCUGGGGGAGAUCAGAAUCAGGCUCGGGGGGGCUGGGGGGUGUAGGGCUGC
Molecule: long non-coding RNA, 8753 nt
Organism: Gallus gallus (chicken)
Lineage: Eukaryota; Metazoa; Chordata; Aves; Galliformes; Phasianidae
Source: Ensembl